GUGUGUGUUUGUGUCUAUCCUGUAAACUACAUGUAACUGAAUUGACUAUUUUCUUGUGUUUUUGUCCAGGUAAUCUAUGGCCAGGCAAAGAAGAAAAAGCUAAACACACGUUCAAACUGACACUGUUGCCAUGCCGACUCGGAAAGUUGAAACGUAGCCAGAUGAGGACCCUAAUUUACACAGACACGUCGCCUGGUUUUACAUGUACAGUAUGAACAAGUCGCCAUUUUGUACCGUGUGUAGUCAAUUCUACCGUGUGUAGUCAAUUCUACCGUGUGUAGUCAAUUCUACCGUGUGUAGUCAAUUCUACCGUGUGUUGUCAAUUCUACCGUGUGUAGUCAAUUCUACCGUGUGUAGUCAAUUCUACCGUGUGUAGUCAAUUCUACCGUGUGUAGUCAAUUCUACCGUGUGCAGUCAAUUCUACCGUGUGUAGUCAAUUCUACCGUGUGUAGUCAAUUCUACCGUGUGUUGUCAAUUCUACCGUGUGUCGUCAAUUCUACCGUGUGUAGUCAAUUCCACCGUGUGUAGUCAAUUCUACCGUGUGUUGUCAAUUCUACCGCGUGUUGUCAAUUCUACCGUGUGUUGUCAAUUCUACCGUGUGUUGUCAAUUCUACCGUGUGUUGUCAAUUCUACCGUGUGUAGUCAAUUCUACCGUAUGUGUAUAAUAAUUACACUGUACAUUCUUGGUAUAUUGCUGGACGUAGGCAGUAAACUACCAGCUGAUUGAUUUUUUCUUACAUUACACAUUGUCUGCUGAAUACAUUACAUACAUCUUAUUUGGCAUACUCUUUACAACUAAAUUUCAUGAAUAAUUCUGAUUGUUGCUCUCGCCUGGUGUAUAAACUGCAUACAAGUGGCUAAUUGGUGUUCUAUGCCUGUUUACAAUGUGAUUUAAGUUCAUUUACUUCAUUUUCUUCUUCAAGACAUUCUCCGCUUGCUCUGGUUUCCUUUCCAUGUACCUGUAGGUCUGGGCGUGACUAAUAUUGGAAUGAUUUGACUAUAGGUUGACUAGCCGUUGUGUACUUCUAAUUACCCCUUCCUAUGUUACAUUAUUGACUUUGUCACUGGCUCUGCUUUUUGUAUUUUAUUAUCUGCACAUACAUGUACAUGUAUUGGAGCCUGUGAUAAGAUGGACCCCGUGGGAGACAGCAAGGUUUGGUUUUCUAAAACUUG
This is a long non-coding RNA of Sycon ciliatum, 1173 nucleotides long. RefSeq lists it as uncharacterized. The record is from RefSeq and is a predicted model, not a curated record. Lineage: Eukaryota; Metazoa; Porifera; Calcarea; Leucosolenida; Sycettidae. The transcript has 2 exons.